AGGUGGGGUAAAAUAUUGUGAUGGUAAUGAGAUAAUGGCAAUUACCUUAGAUGAGAAGGUGAAGGUCAAUGAGAUUAAAGAUUGCAAUAGGUUCACUAGCUGCAGGUUGUCCAUGACCACCAAGGCUUACAGCACUGUGAUGAACAACUUUAGUAUGGGAAGGAUGAAAAACGAGAAUGUAGAAAAAAUGGAGAGGAAGGAGAGAUCGAUCCAGG
RNAcentral lists this long non-coding RNA (215 nucleotides) under Elaeis guineensis (African oil palm). RNAcentral's name for it is "long non-coding RNA (EGUI_LNC034373)". Lineage: Eukaryota; Viridiplantae; Streptophyta; Magnoliopsida; Arecales; Arecaceae. The record is from RNAcentral.